RNAcentral lists this ribosomal RNA (862 nucleotides) under uncultured bacterium. Its description in RNAcentral is "bacterial SSU rRNA". It matches the Rfam family "Bacterial small subunit ribosomal RNA", at positions 8 to 852 of the family's 1533-position model. The record is from RNAcentral.
AGAGUUUGAUCAUGGCUCAGGACGAACGCUGGCGGCGUGCCUAAUACAUGCAAGUUGAACGAUGAUUUCUGGUACUUGUAUCAGAAUGAAGAGUAGCGAACGGGUGAGUAACGCGUGGGUAACCUACCUCUUAGCGGGGGACAACUAUUGGAAACGAUAGCUAAUACCGCAUAACAAUAUUAAACACAUGUUUAAUAUUUGAAAGUACCAAUUGGUACACUAGGAGAUGGACCCGCGUUGUAUUAGCUAGUUGGUAGUGUAAUGGACUACCAAGGCGAUGAUACAUAGCCGACCUGAGAGGGUGAUCGGCCACAUUGGGACUGAGACACGGCCCAAACUCCUACGGGAGGCAGCAGUAGGGAAUCUUCGGCAAUGGACGAAAGUCUGACCGAGCAACGCCGCGUGAGUGAAGAAGGUUUUCGGAUCGUAAAACUCUGUUGUUAGAGAAGAACGUUGUGUAGAGUGGAAAAUUACACAAGUGACGGUAUCUAACCAGAAAGGGACGGCUAACUACGUGCCAGCAGCCGCGGUAAUACGUAGGUCCCGAGCGUUGUCCGGAUUUAUUGGGCGUAAAGCGAGCGCAGGUGGUUUAAUAAGUCUGAUGUAAAAGGCAGUGGCUCAACCAUUGUGUGCAUUGGAAACUGUUAGACUUGAGUGCAGUAGAGGAGAGUGGAAUUCCAUGUGUAGCGGUGAAAUGCGUAGAUAUAUGGAGGAACACCGGUGGCGAAAGCGGCUCUCUGGACUGUAACUGACACUGAGGCUCGAAAGCGUGGGUAGCAAACAGGAUUAGAUACCCUGGUAGUCCACGCCGUAAACGAUGAGUGCUAGUUGUUUGGGGCUAUCCAGCCCUAAGUGACGCAGC